RNAcentral lists this small nuclear RNA (130 nucleotides) under Echinops telfairi (small Madagascar hedgehog). RNAcentral's name for it is "U4 spliceosomal RNA (ENSETEG00000024458.1)". It matches the Rfam family "U4 spliceosomal RNA". Rfam says of the family: U4 small nuclear RNA (U4 snRNA) is a component of the major U2-dependent spliceosome. Lineage: Eukaryota; Metazoa; Chordata; Mammalia; Afrosoricida; Tenrecidae. The record is from RNAcentral.
AGCUUUGCACAGUGGCAAUAUCGUAACCAGUGAGGUUUGCCCGAGGCGCAAUUGUUGCUAAUUGAAAGAAAAAAAAUCUACAGAGCAAAUUAGUUUUCCAUUCAACAAUUUAUAUGCAUUUUGUUUCAAA